GAUGAACGCUAGCGGCAGGCCUAAUACAUGCAAGUCGAACGGGCGGUAGCAAUACCGCUAGUGGCGCACGGGUGCGUAACGCGUAACCAACCUGCCCAGAUCUGGGGGAUAGCCCGCCGAAAGGCGGAUUAAUACCGCAUAAACCCACAGUGUGGCAUCACAUAAGGGGUAAGAAUUAUUGGGACCGGGAUGGGGUUGCGUAGCAUUAGCUAGUUGGCGGGGUAAUGGCCCACCAAGGCGACGAUGCUUAGGGGACCUGAGAGGGUGAUCCCCCACACUGGCACUGAGAUACGGGCCAGACUCCUACGGGAGGCAGCAGUAGGGAAUAUUGGGCAAUGGGCGAGAGCCUGACCCAGCCAUGCCGCGUGCCGGAUGAAGGCCUUCUGGGUUGUAAACGGCUUUUCUCAGGGAAGAAAACGGGGAUGCGUCCUCAACUGACGGUACCUGAGGAAUAAGCACCGGCUAACUCCGU
This 472-nucleotide ribosomal RNA is filed under the name uncultured bacterium. RNAcentral's name for it is "partial 16S ribosomal RNA". It matches the Rfam family "Bacterial small subunit ribosomal RNA", at positions 28 to 506 of the family's 1533-position model. The record is from RNAcentral.